This 319-nucleotide small nuclear RNA is filed under the name Microcebus murinus (gray mouse lemur). RNAcentral describes it as "7SK RNA (ENSMICG00000023131.3)". It matches the Rfam family "7SK RNA", at positions 9 to 295 of the family's 331-position model. Rfam says of the family: 7SK was discovered as an abundant small nuclear RNA in the mid-70s but a possible function has only recently been suggested. Two independent studies have found that 7SK RNA binds the CDK9/cyclin T complex (known as elongation factor P-TEFb). Lineage: Eukaryota; Metazoa; Chordata; Mammalia; Primates; Cheirogaleidae. The record is from RNAcentral.
GGAUGAUCUGGCUGCGACUUCUGUCACUCCAUUGAUGGCCAGGGUUGAUUGGGCUGAUAUGGCUGGCUAGGCAGGUGUCCCCUUCCUCCCUCACCACUCCCUGUGCAUCCAUGCCAAAGCUGCACGCUAGGUCGAAGACGAUGACCUUCCCUGAUAGAGGAGGACCAUUCUUCGGUCAAGAGUAUACGAGUAGCUGCGCUUCCCUACUAGAACCUCCAAACAAGCUCUCAAGAAAUCACACUGGCUUCUAGGUUUGGAAAAUAAGAAGAAGAUUAAGAGGAAGAAGGGAAGGAAGGGGGUGAAAGAAUAACACUGAAAU